This 2534-nucleotide unclassified non-coding RNA is filed under the name Hevea brasiliensis (rubber tree). The record is from RNAcentral. Lineage: Eukaryota; Viridiplantae; Streptophyta; Magnoliopsida; Malpighiales; Euphorbiaceae.
AAAAAAAAAAGUACAUAACAAUUUGAGCGAAUAUACACAAAUUGCCUGAUUCUUACUAGGAACUCUUAUCUGUACACCUGAAAUUUAACUGCUCAGAAAGCUUCAAUUUACCAUCUACUCAGCUGUCAAGGUAGUUGGAUGGAUUUGGCAUCAACAAAAUGCAUGGAGAAAAUGCAUCUUGUACCAAACUCUAUCAGUGCAAAACACAUUCCUGUUGUAGUACGUUGUAUCAAACAGAAGGCAGAUUUCUGGCUGACUUGCAAAGCUACAAGAUAAUGUCCUGAAACAUAUCAAAUUGAAUUUGUAAAAAUAUGACACAGUUUGCAUUAAGUGGUGCAGUAGUUUUCCAAAGAAAAUGACAGGAAGUUUAUUCAGACUAAUAUUACCUCUCAAUCUGGACUGGCCACCCUGCAAAUCAUAUAUUUGGGAUUUUUACAUACAUAAACAGUACACGCUCAACCUAGAAGUGACGUAUUUUACAUGGAAGCAUGAGAAUAAGAAACUGUUCCACGUUCCCAGCCACAUAAAUACAUUUGUCACAGAGCUACUAAGAGCCUCCUAUGCUAUUAAAAUAACAAGAUGACGGUCCCAUAUUCCACACGAGGCAAACCAAAAAAUGCAUGCUAGUGCGUGGUUAGUACUGGCAAAUUUUGCCCUUAAAUGAUUUAUCAUAUAUAAAUUUUCUAGCAUCAAAGUCUUGCAGUGUCUCUUACAACUCUUCAAAACAUGUGCAAUAUUUAAAGGACGUUAACAACUCUUUAAAAUGUGCAUUCCUCUCAGUUAGCCUCUUAUAAAUGAUCACAAUCCGUCACCAGUAACCAUGUUAUGACUUGCAUAAUUCUGCUAAGGCAAAGGACAUAAUUUUAGGACUACAUAAAGCAGUAGGUCCUCAUACCAACUUAUUUCAUAAAUCUUCAAGAAAGAAGAAAAUACCUAGUUAAACAAAAAAUGUUGAUUAAUUCCAUGGUUGUGACAAAGAAACAGUUGGACUUGAUGCCUCUAGUCCUCGUUUUCCAUGUAUGGCAGAUUUAAGCACAUUGUAUUGCUCAGUCACAGAAUCAUAUAGAACCUGUGCAUAUGCCUUCUUAGCCUCUUCAGGGUUUUCACAAGCAGCAGCAAUUUCAGAAAAUCCGAUUUCCGGUGCAAUUGACAAUCCAGCCCCAUGAAAGGAGAUCACUCUUUUCUCUCCGAUCUCUUUUUCCACCUGCAGUGGAGGGGGCAUGAUGUCAUGGCAUAAUAAUGCUAAGGGAUAAAUAUGUCCUGGAGCACCAGAAUGUUCAGCAAGCCUUCUCAUGUUGUCCACUGAAGCAGCUUCAAAUGGUGCUGGAUACCAUUCUCCAGUCAGAGGAUCUGGGCGGUCCCUACCACCACUUGGGGCAAUCCACACUAUUUGUGAACCAUCCCUCAAAAUCACGGCCAUCUCCUUCAAACUUCGUAUGUUUGCUUUUUUCUUCAUCUCAGUAAGUUCAGGAUCAUCAUACAUGUGUUUUUUUGAGUACACACAAAUAAGAUUCCUGCCCAUACUGAAUGGCUUGCAAAGAGGAUCUGUUAAAACUCUAUCCCCUGCUACAUAGAUCAAGUUUUCAGCAAUAGAGGGAUUUGUUUUGUCAAGCAAUAGCGCAAUGACGGCAGGGUCUGCUUCAGUUUGGUGGUUUGAUAUCAAGACAAUAUUGUGACCCUGUUGAAGCUGUUUUUCAACUUCAUGGAAAAGGGAUAUAUUGCCAACAUAUGAAUUCCUAAAAUCAACCAAAGGACGUAUAUAGUUUUGACCAAAGUUAUAGUAGUCGAAGGGCUCUCUCAAUGCUUUGUGAUAAGGUGAGAAGACAAAAGGGUCCUCAACAUCCAAGCACAUACGAUCCAUUGCAACAGCCAUAUUUGACAAUAUUAUCUCUUCGGCAUUGGGAAUUCCACUUUGUAAAACUGCAUUUUUAUAAUUCUGAUACACUUCUUCCAUCCCUGCAGCAACAUUUAAAGGCAACCUCCCUGCUUCCACUUCCUUCCUAAUUCCAGACAGCAACUCUCCUUCCGUUGUCGCAUCAAGAAAAGUUCGCCGGUGACUAGGCUUUUCCUUCUUCUUCUCCUCCUCCUUCUCGCCUGACGCUGAAGCGAUAGCUUCUUUGUCCUCCUUAACGAGCUGAGACAUUGCAUUAGCGUUUAUAGAAGAGAUCAAGUAAGGACAAAGGGACCUUCGCGCACUCGAUCUGAGAGCGAGCGAACGAGAGGGAGGGACCAAACAGAGCUUCGAAGACAAGAAAGGAAAGGAAAGGGAAACCCUAGGCGAUGGUAUGCUACAGAGAAAUGUGGGAGGAAUAGCGGAAAGGAUCAUAUCUCUCUCAUAAACUGAAAAUGGAGUAUAGCGAGUGCUUGGCUCUUCUUUCUAUUAUCUGUUGAGAACGGGAAGAGAUAUCUCGUGGUUAUAAGGUUGCGGCUGGCUGAUUGGAGGCUACCGUUCUCUGCGACGCUCUUUAUUUGCUGAGAUGUGUCUCCUAACUCUCCGAACCACACGUAACUCUGAGGUGGAAGGAGUAGCAGAG